RNAcentral lists this ribosomal RNA (391 nucleotides) under uncultured bacterium. RNAcentral's name for it is "bacterial SSU rRNA". It matches the Rfam family "Bacterial small subunit ribosomal RNA", at positions 47 to 440 of the family's 1533-position model. The record is from RNAcentral.
CCUAACACAUGCAAGUCGAGCGGUAGAGAGGAGCUUGCUCCUCUUGAGAGCGGCGGACGGGUGAGUAAUGCCUAGGAAUCUGCCUGGUAGUGGGGGAUAACGUUCGGAAACGGACGCUAAUACCGCAUACGUCCUACGGGAGAAAGCAGGGGACCUUCGGGCCUUGCGCUAUCAGAUGAGCCUAGGUCGGAUUAGCUAGUUGGUGAGGUAAUGGCUCACCAAGGCGACGAUCCGUAACUGGUCUGAGAGGAUGAUCAGUCACACUGGAACUGAGACACGGUCCAGACUCCUACGGGAGGCAGCAGUGGGGAAUAUUGGACAAUGGGCGAAAGCCUGAUCCAGCCAUGCCGCGUGUGUGAAGAAGGUCUUCGGACUGUAAAGCACUUUAAGU